RNAcentral lists this transfer RNA (58 nucleotides) under Plagiosiphon multijugus. RNAcentral describes it as "partial tRNA-Phe". Lineage: Eukaryota; Viridiplantae; Streptophyta; Magnoliopsida; Fabales; Fabaceae. The record is from RNAcentral.
UCGGGAUAGCUCAGCUGGUAGAGCAGAGGACUGAAAAUCCUCCGUGUCACAGGUUUCA